RNAcentral lists this long non-coding RNA (360 nucleotides) under Lonchura striata (white-rumped munia). RNAcentral describes it as "domestica (Bengalese finch) lncRNA (ENSLSDG00000018229.1)". Lineage: Eukaryota; Metazoa; Chordata; Aves; Passeriformes; Estrildidae. The record is from RNAcentral.
CAGGGACACCCCCCGGCGGGGGCGGCGCCGGGCGGGACCCCCCCCGGGGGCACCUUCGCGCAGGACACGACCAAGUUCUGGUACAAACCGGGGCUGUCCCGGGAGGAAGGGAGCCUCCCAGCUCUGGUGCUGCAGCACUCCAUCACCCCUAUCUCACUGCCUUGCACCCUCCGCAUCCCCCAUGCAGGUGGGCACCCCAAAAACUGCAGGAACACCCAAAAACCCUGUGGAUACCCCACAACUCCUGCAUGACCCCAAAACCCCCACAGGGACCCCCCUCAAAGUGCAGUUACCCCACCCCAACCCCUUCCUGGGACACACCAAAACCCCCUGGGAGAAACCCAAAACCAUGGGACACCC